UUGGUGGGCCAUAUAAGAAGAAGAAUAACAAAAUGUAAACAAAGAAAUAGAUUUGCGAAACAAUCUGAAAUCCGCAAAUGAAAAUAUUGUGAGUUAUUUAUACAAAAAAUGAGCGAUUGGAGUGAUUUGUUAACAACCAUAAACUUAGGACUGUUUAUAGCUGGCACGGAGCUUGCCAUGAUGGAAGAAGGCACCCACAAGAAAGCCCCAAUAUAUCGCGUAAGUCCGUACCUCCGGGAAAGGAACUCAAAGGGUCGGUUCGAGACUGAUUUCGAGAACUUAAAGAGCUCAGCUAGUCUUCAACGAGAACUUUUGUAUGACUCCUGCCACGUUUGAAACACUCUAUGAGAUACUACUUCCAUUUUUGCUGGGCAAGCGAAAUACCAGGCCGGAUGAUUUCAUUUGUGAAAAAGCCAAACUGGCAAUGGUUUUAGAGUACUUUGCAACGGGAGAUUUGUGUAGACAUAUAGCUUCCUGCUAUAGAAUUAGUAAGCAGCAUUUUGAUCACAUAGUAUAGCACGUAAGUCAAGCUAUCUGCAAAGCUUUGAAGAGCCAAGUACCGGAAUGUAAUGAGCAAACCAUGUCUACAGUUGCGAAUGGUUAUAAAGAAAAAUGGAAUUUUCCAAACUGCGUUAGAGCUAUCGAUGGAAAACAUGUCGCCAUUAGAGCGCCCCCGAAAAGUGGAAGUAUUUUCUUCAAUUACAAGGCAAGUAACUUAUACCUGUACAUAUUAACAUACUAGAGCACUGCAUGAAUAAAUUCAUUUUCUUGUGUAUGGUUCGCUAUCGCAAAAUUUGCUACCUCGAAUCCUCCUGAUCGUAUGGAUUUUCGCUCUGAUUUAAAUACGAAAAGUGCUGUAUCCAAAGACUGAGAAGUUUUCCUCCUCUUCUGUAAAAUUUGUAAAAAUGGACUUAGUAACUUUUUCCCAUAAGCUAGCGAUAUAUAUGUAGUUGCCUUAAUAUAGAAGGGCACAAUCUAACAUUUUUAUUUCAUAACGGAGUGAUGAAAGAACUUCACGCUCCGAAUUUCUUGAAAGGCUGUAUUUAUUGAAGAAUGUAACCAAUUUUAUGCUAUAGACUAUAGUAGAUGUUUAGUGAGUAAUCGUCAGGCUUUUAUACAAUGAAUUAGGGCUUUUUUAUACUAACGUAACGAAUAUUCUACUAUAUAUUUGCGGAAGUAUGUAUGUAUGUGCCAGGUUGCAGCCUUAACGGAAGGACAGAAUCGAAC
RNA transcript from Rhagoletis zephyria (snowberry fruit fly), 1227 nucleotides. RefSeq lists it as uncharacterized. NCBI's taxonomy places the organism in Eukaryota, Metazoa, Arthropoda, Insecta, Diptera, Tephritidae. The record is from RefSeq and is a predicted model, not a curated record.